UUUCCGUAGGUGAACCUGCGGAAGGAUCAUUACCGAGUGAGGGCCCUCUGGGUCCAACCUCCCACCCGUGUUUAUUGUACCUUGUUGCUUCGGCGGGCCCGCCGUUUUCGAACGGCCGCCGGGGAGGCCUUGCGCCCCCGGGCCCGCGCCCGCCGAAGACCCCAACAUGAACUCUGUUCUGAAAGUAUGCAGUCUGAGUUUGAUUACCAUAAUCAAUUAAAACUUUCAACAACGGAUCUCUUGGUUCCG
This 249-nucleotide unclassified non-coding RNA is filed under the name soil metagenome. Its description in RNAcentral is "partial contains small subunit ribosomal RNA, internal transcribed spacer 1, and 5.8S ribosomal RNA". The record is from RNAcentral.